AUACGGAGGGUGCAAGCGUUACUCGGAAUCACUGGGCGUAAAGCGCGCGCAGGCGGCUUGAUAAGUUGGAUGUGAAAGCCUACGGCUCAACCGUAGAACUGCAUCCAAAACUGUCAAGCUCGAGUCUGGGAGGGGAAGAUGGAAUUAGUUGUGUAGGGGUAAAAUCCGUAGAGAUAACUAGGAAUACCAAAAGCGAAGGCGAUCUUCUGGAACAGUACUGACGCUGAGGCGCGAAAGCGUGGGGAGCAAACAGGAUUAGAUACCCUAGUAGUCC
This 274-nucleotide ribosomal RNA is filed under the name uncultured bacterium. RNAcentral describes it as "partial 16S ribosomal RNA". It matches the Rfam family "Bacterial small subunit ribosomal RNA", at positions 523 to 796 of the family's 1533-position model. The record is from RNAcentral.